RNAcentral lists this ribosomal RNA (501 nucleotides) under uncultured bacterium. RNAcentral describes it as "partial 16S ribosomal RNA". It matches the Rfam family "Bacterial small subunit ribosomal RNA", at positions 30 to 523 of the family's 1533-position model. The record is from RNAcentral.
AUUGAACGCUGGCGGCAUGCCUUACACAUGCAAGUCGAACGGCAGCACGGGUGCUUGCACCUGGUGGCGAGUGGCGAACGGGUGAGUAAUACAUCGGAACGUACCUUAUCGUGGGGGAUAACGCAGCGAAAGCUGUGCUAAUACCGCAUACGCCCUGAGGGGGAAAGCGGGGGAUCGAAAGACCUCGCGCGAUUAGAGCGGCCGAUGCCUGAUUAGCUUGUUGGUGGGGUAAAAGCCCACCGAGGCGACGAUCAGUAGCUGGUCUGAGAGGACGAUCAGCCACACUGGGACUGAGACACGGCUCAGACUCCUACGGGAGGCAGCAGUGGGGAAUUUUGGACAAUGGGGGCAACCCUGAUCCAGCAAUGCCGCGUGAGUGAAGAAGGCCUUCGGGUUGUAAAGCUCUUUUGUCAGGGAAGAAACACCGGCUCUAACACAGUCCGGGAAUGACGGUACCUGAAGAAUAAGCACCGGCUAACUACGUGCCAGCAGCCGCAGUAA